CUUGCAAACUAAAGAUGGCGACCGGCGCACGGGUGAGUAACACGUAUCCAACCUGCCGAUAACUCGGGGAUAGCCUUUCGAAAGAAAGAUUAAUAUCCGAUAGUAUAUUAAAACCGCAUGGUUUUACUAUUAAAGAAUUUCGGUUAUCGAUGGGGAUGCGUUCCAUUAGUUUGUUGGCGGGGUAACGGCCCACCAAGACUACGAUGGAUAGGGGUUCUGAGAGGAAGAUCCCCCACAUUGGAACUGAGACACGGUCCAA
Molecule: ribosomal RNA, 259 nt
Filed under: uncultured bacterium
Lineage: Bacteria
Description: partial 16S ribosomal RNA
Rfam family: Bacterial small subunit ribosomal RNA
Source: RNAcentral